GGUAGACUUAUACUUGAUGGGUCACCAGGAGAAUGCCAGUCUCCAUGGCCAAGCACUGGUGGCUUGCCUUUCCUCCCUGGCUUGUUGCUCACAAAUGUUUGCCUUUGAAGAUUUAGACAUGAAAGGCCUUAUAUCAUGAAUCUAAAACAAACAGAAACCAUGAUAGUGUGUGUGAGAGAGAGGCAGGGUGAGAGGGAGGGAAGUGCGCUGCCCAACCUCUGAAGUUUCACGGUUUCCCAUCACAAUUAUAUAUCAGCGCUGGGAUAGAGAGCUCAGGGCCAAACAGUUCUGGCAGACGUUCAACACUUUCCAUGCCUGUAAUCUGUCACGACCCAGGCAGCAGAGCACCAAUAACCAUACGCAGAGGCCAGAAUCUAUCUAAUAUCUUUAUUAAGGAAAUAUAUAAAGUUAAUAAAAGCAAGCGUAUGAAUUAGUCCAGGAGUAGACCUUUCAGGAAAGGUCAAAAUUAGUCCAAAGAAACAAUGUCCAAUAUGAAAUAUUAAGGUCCAAAGUUGUAAUCCAAUAACCAAAACACUCACUUGCCAAGCAAGUGAGGGGAGAUGACAAGGUCCUUUAGUCCAUGAACUUGAGCAAGGCUAGGAAAUAACUUGAUUCUUGGAACACAAGGCUUGAUUCAAGGCAACAAGGAAACGAGGAGCAAGAAUAGGAUCCGUGGAAUUACUUGGCGAGGUCCGGAAAACAAGGCAAGAUCCGGAGAGUAAAACAAGGCUGGAAACGAAGGCUUGAAAUCGGGAACAAGGCUUGAAACAGGAACGAGGCUUGGAAACGGAGUAGCUGUCCACACACGCUACUCCGGUAGCUGACGAAUUGACUCCGCAAGAUCCCUUUGUGGGUAAAACACCUAAAUAGGGUCCCGUUUUCCCGCCAAAGAGCAGUUCUCUGGAGAACCAGAAACGAAAGCUAUUCUCUGAGUCCAGAUGUGUGACUCCUUAAAGUUUCACAUGGAAAGCAGACUUAAUCAGCUGAAUGCUUAGCAGCUAUCCUCGCACUCCUGCGAGAGGCCGCUUGAACUCCCCUCUGUUGUUUACAAAACUCAUGGCGAGAAAACGUAGGAGAUUUAGGUUCAGGACUUGUUUGACAGACUUCUGGAAGACAAAUCUCUUGCAGGUGCAAGGUUUCCAAAUCUGGCUGGGAAAGUUCCAAUUCUGACUGAAACGGUGAAAAACCCAAGUUUUCCUCUUCAUCUAGCACAACAGUGCCAGGAACGGGACUACAUGGCCCAUGACUCAUCACAUAAUCCUGGAAAAGAAAAAGAAAAAGAAGAAGAAGAAAAAGGAGGACACUCAGGUGCCUGACCUGUUCUUCUGGACUCUGCUCAAUCAGAUUCCAGCCUCAGGUGUGCCGUUUGAUGUACAGUAGUUGUAUAUUGUUCACUGGAGAAUGUGAAGACAAGAAAUAAAGUAAGAAGAAGGAAAUAGGAAACUCAAGGAUAAAUAGCCAAAACUGUCUGUACUGCCAGCAUCUUCCCAUGAUGAAAAUGCCAAUACAAGCCACUGGAUAAGAGAAGGUGCGGUCAUUUUUCUUCUUUGCUUUCUCAACUCUACUAGACUGUAUACACAAGAGAUUGUGUUAUGCGUUUCAUCUACCAGAAUUGCUGACUGCUGACCAAGCUGCCUGGGACUUCUGGGAACAUGUGGAGGACCAAAAGUUGGGAGCCACAAUUGAGAUGACCAGAAGUGAACACAACGUUCUAGGAAAAUCCUGAGAGUGCCUUGGACUGCAAGAAGAUCCAACCAGUCCAUCAUCCAGGAAAUAAUGCCCGGCUGCUCACUGGAGGGAAGGAUACUAGAGGCAAAGAAGAAGUAUUUUGGCCACAUCAUGAGAAGACAGGAAAACUUGGAAAAGAUCAUGAUGCUGGGGAAAAUGGAAGGAAAAAGGAAGAGAGGCCGACCAAGGGCAAGAUGGAUGGAUGGUAUCCUUAAAGUAACUGGCUUGACUUUGAAGGAACUGGGGGCAGUGACGGUCGAUAGGGAGCUCUGGCAUGGACUGGUCCAUGAUGUCACGAAGAAUUGGAAACGACUGAACUAAUAAAGAAGACAUUCAUUCUUGGAAUUUCUAGCACCUCCAGUGCAGUUCUAAGAUCCGUAUCCACUGGAGGUUGCCCAUAGAGUCAUGCUGGCAGACCUAGAGAUUGCUAGAAAGAAAGCCUCUUUAGAGCCUCCUUCUUAAGGUACAUAGUCAUCUAGAGAUUUUAAUAGCUUUUUCCACAUUCAUGAGGCUCUGAGCCCCUAACUGCAGCCAAUGUGGAGGUCUGACAAUAACUGCCUUUGACUGAGGCAUAUUUUGGCCCAUCUAACCCAGUAAUGAGGACACUGACUGCUCAGAGUUUCAGGCAGAGAUGGCCAACAAUUGAACCUGGGACCCUCUUCAUGGAAAAUCUGUACUCCACAUCUGCACUUGAUGGGAUGUGCUUGCUGCUUGGGAAUCUCUCUGCCUCGAGCAACUGCUCCUUUGACAAUUAAGUUUCUGGCUGUAAUUAGGCACCUAGUUCGAGGUUGUGACUGAAGGCCAGGCCCUGGGAAAGGAGUGGUGUGAAAGCGGCAGUAGUGCCGGGAGGCACUUUGACUCAUAGAGGCCCCUUGUGAGUCAUACAAGCCCUUGCUCCAAGGGGUGAACAAAGGCACAGCUAUGCUACUGUGGCUGUCUCACAUUUAGCUAACCUGGCGGGUUAGGAGAUCAAGCCCUGUCCACUUUCCAGAGCUUGGGACAUGAUUUUUUAAAAAAGAAAUGUAGCCCCAUUAUUCACAUUCUCAUUCCAACAGUUGGCACUGGUUGCUGUUUGUUUGAAGUGCAACCCACGGCUUUCAUUUCUUGUUGCUUUUUCAGAACCUUACUCAAACAUACACACAACAAUCAUAGGUCACUCAAGCCUGGUAUUCCACUACAAUUGCAUUAUCAUUGAUAGAGGAUACAUACUGGAUAGAGCACCUUUCCUAUUGCACCUCUAUUUAUUAAGGAGCCUCCGGUGGCCUAGGGGAUAAAAGCCUUGUGACUUGAAGGUUGGGUUGCUGACCUGAAGGCGGCCAGGUUCGAAUCCUACCCGGGGAGAGCGCGGAUGAGCUCCCUCUAUCAGCUCCAGCUCCAUGCGGGGACAUGAGAGAAACCUCCCACAAGGAUGGUAAAACAUUAAAACAUCCGGGCAUCCCCUGGGCAACGUCCUUGCAGACAGCCAAUUCUCUCACUCCAGAAGCAACUCUGGUUGCUCCUGACAUGAAAAACAAAAACAAAAAACCCCUCUAUUUAUUCAUGCAAUUGUGCCAUUUGCAAUAGUUUUUAGCCUUCUCUGACAAAUAGUGCCAGAGCCUUACCAAACUACAGGUUUCAUGACACCAUGGUAUAGAUCCAUGGCAGUCAAAGUGGUGUCAAACUGCACGGCUGUGGCGCAGGCUGGUUAGCAGCCAGCUGCAAUAAAUCAUUAUGACCAAGAGGUCAUGAGUUCGAGGCUAGCCCGUGUCGGAGUGAGCACCCGACAAUUAAAAUAAAUAAAUAAAAAUAGCCCUACUCGUUGUUGACCUAAGCAACCCGAAAGACAGUUGCAUCUGUCAAGUAGAAAAAAUUAGGACCGCUUAUGCGGGGAGGCUAAUUUAACUGAUUUACAACACAGGAUGAGGAAGUACUCCAUCAAAAAAGAACUCCUCGUCACAGUGGAUGAUUAAGCAGCAUCUCCUCCUGUGGCCGGAAUCGAGCAUACCCUCACAAAGCCAGAAGCUGGGAAGUUAAAUAGCCUCUGUGUCUGUCUGUCUCUGUGUUGUUUGUCUAAUGGCAUUGUAUGUUUGCCAUGUAUGUACAUUGUGAUCCGCCCUGAGUCCCCUUCGGGGGUGAGACGGGCAGAAUAUAAAUACUGGAAAUAAAUAAAUAAAUAAAUAA
Molecule: long non-coding RNA, 3888 nt
Organism: Anolis carolinensis (green anole)
Lineage: Eukaryota; Metazoa; Chordata; Lepidosauria; Squamata; Anolidae
Exons: 5
Source: RefSeq, a predicted model, not a curated record